GAUGAACGCUGGCUACAGGCUUAACACAUGCAAGUCGUGGGGAAACGGCAUUAUGUGCUUGCACAUUCUGGACGUCGACCGGCGCACGGGUGAGUAUCGCGUAUCCAACCUGCCCCUUACUUGGGGAUACCCCGUUGAAAGACGGCCUAAUACCCGAUGUGUUUCAUUGACGGCAUCCGAUAUGAAACAAAGGUUUUUCCGGUAAGGGAUGGGGAUGCGUCUGAUUAGCUUGUUGGCGGGGCAACGGCCCACCAAGGCAACGAUCAGUAGGGGUUCUGAGAGGAAGGUCCCCCACAUUGGAACUGAGACACGGUCCAAACUCCUACGGGAGGCAGCAGUGAGGAAUAUCGGUCAAUGGACGCAAGUCUGAACCAGCCAAGUAGCGUGCAGGAUGACGGCCCUAUGGGUUGUAAACUGCUUUUAUGUGGGAAUAAAGUGGCGCACGUGUGCGCCAUUGCAUGUACCUCAUGAAUAAGGACCGGCUAAUUCCGUGCCAGCAGCCGCGGUAAUACGGAAGGUCCGGGCGUUAUCCGGAUUUAUUGGGUUUAAAGGGAGUGUAGGCGGUCUGUUAAGCGUGUUGUGAAAUUUAGGUGCUCAACAUUUAACUUGCAGCGCGAACUGUCAGACUUGAGUACACACAGCGCAGGCGGAAUUCAUGGUGUAGCGGUGAAAUGCUUAGAUAUCAUGAGGAACUCCGAUCGCGAAGGCAGCCUGCGGGAGUGUUACUGACGCUUAAGCUCGAAGGUGCGGGUAUCGAACAGGAUUAGAUACCCUGGUAGUCCGCACAGUAAACGAUGGAUGCCCGCCGUUGGCGCCCUGCGCCUGCGGCCAAGCGAAAGCAUUAAGCAUCCCACCUGGGGAGUACGCCGGCAACGGUGAAACUCAAAGGAAUUGACCGGGGCCCGCACAAGCGGAGGAACAUGUGGUUUAAUUCCGAUGAUACGCGAGGACCCUUACCCCGGGG
This 964-nucleotide ribosomal RNA is filed under the name Prevotella nigrescens. RNAcentral's name for it is "bacterial SSU rRNA". It matches the Rfam family "Bacterial small subunit ribosomal RNA", at positions 28 to 981 of the family's 1533-position model. Lineage: Bacteria; Pseudomonadati; Bacteroidota; Bacteroidia; Bacteroidales; Prevotellaceae. The record is from RNAcentral.